RNAcentral lists this ribosomal RNA (492 nucleotides) under uncultured bacterium. RNAcentral describes it as "partial 16S ribosomal RNA". It matches the Rfam family "Bacterial small subunit ribosomal RNA", at positions 29 to 507 of the family's 1533-position model. The record is from RNAcentral.
AGUGAACGCUGGCGGUAGGCCUAACACAUGCAAGUCGAACGGCAGCACAGUAAGAGCUUGCUCUUGCGGGUGGCGAGUGGCGGACGGGUGAGGAAUACAUCGGAAUCUACUUUUUCGUGGGGGAUAACGUAGGGAAACUUACGCUAAUACCGCAUACGACCUACGGGUGAAAGCAGGGGAUCUUCGGACCUUGCGCGAUUGAAUGAGCCGAUGUCGGAUUAGCUAGUUGGCGGGGUAAAGGCCCACCAAGGCGACGAUCCGUAGCUGGUCUGAGAGGAUGAUCAGCCACACUGGAACUGAGACACGGUCCAGACUCCUACGGGAGGCAGCAGUGGGGAAUAUUGGACAAUGGGCGCAAGCCUGAUCCAGCCAUACCGCGUGGGUGAAGAAGGCCUUCGGGUUGUAAAGCCCUUUUGUUGGGAAAGAAAAGCAGCAGGUUAAUACCCCGCUGUUCUGACGGUACCCAAAGAAUAAGCACCGGCUAACUUCGUA